Alosa sapidissima (American shad) is the source of this 1034-nucleotide long non-coding RNA. RefSeq lists it as uncharacterized. Lineage: Eukaryota; Metazoa; Chordata; Actinopteri; Clupeiformes; Clupeidae. The transcript is spliced from 8 exons. The record is from RefSeq and is a predicted model, not a curated record.
AGUGUCAUGAUUGUGAUUGGCUGCUGAGCAAUGUGCCGUUGCUAAGAUCAAGAUGCUGUGCAACAUGGAGUUUAGCGGAGAGCAAACUGGACCUCAUGCACGAGUCCUUCAUAAGUGAUCCAAUCAGCAUCAGGUGGAAUGUAGAGGGUGCAGGUUAAGAAGGACAUGGGAUAGGACAUGGAGUGAGUGUGUGUGUCAGAUCAUGAGGACUCGACCACCAGAAGAUAUUUGUGAGUGUCAUGAUUUUGAUUGGCUGCUGAGCAAUGUGCUGUUGCUAAGAUCAAGAUGCUGUGCAACAUGGAGUUUAGCGGAGAGCAAACUGGACCUAAUGCACGAGUUCUUCAUAAGUGAUCCAAUCAGCAUCAGAUUCUGAGAACUGUGGGGCCCAGACUCGACCAACAGAAGGCCAGGACUGUCACUUCUGAUGACCAAGCUGCAGGAUGAGUUUGAGAACCAAACCAGAAAUUGGAGAUGAGUGUGAAAUGAUUGUGAUUGGCUGCUGUCUCUCCCAGAGCAACGUGCCGUUGCUAAGAUCAAGAUGCUGUGCAACAUGGAGUUUAGCGGAGAGCAAACUGGACCUCAUGCACGAGUCCUUCAUAAGUGAUCCAAUCAGCAUCAGGUGGAAUGUAGAGGGUGCAGGUUAAGAAGGACAUGGGAUAGGACAUGGAGUGAGUGUGUGUGUCAGAUCAUGAGGACUCGACCACCAGAAGAUAUUUGAGCUGUGGUCUCUGAUCCGGUUCUGGACCCUCUGGAGCUGCAGGAGAACAUCUGGACGCCACUAAAGCCUUUGGAGAAGAAGAAGAGGGUGUGUGUGAGUGUGUGUGUGUGUGUGUCUUUGCUUUUGAAGAAGAGAAGAAGACCUCAACCACAUCCUUCAUAAGUCAAAUCGACAGGUAUGAAUAUCAUGUGUGAACUAGGGAUGCAACGGUAUGCGGUAUAUUAUCGUACCAAAAGAUGCCCCCCACUGUUCUGUGGCUGACGUGAACCGCAAUAAGUCGGUAGAUCUGUCAUUAAUGAUUUGCAAACGUUUAUCA